CGUCGUUGCUUGAUGAAUCAAUACCGGAUGUAAAUGAGCUACGGCUCUAUCGUCCGAGAGCGCAAAACCGUGUGGAUGUUUCCGUUGCCUUCCUUCUGAUCUUUUCGUC
Molecule: small nucleolar RNA, 109 nt
Filed under: Heterobasidion irregulare TC 32-1
Lineage: Eukaryota; Fungi; Basidiomycota; Agaricomycetes; Russulales; Bondarzewiaceae
Description: Small nucleolar RNA Z13/snr52
Rfam family: Small nucleolar RNA Z13/snr52
About the family: Z13 or snr52 is a member of the C/D class of snoRNA which contain the C (UGAUGA) and D (CUGA) box motifs. Most of the members of the box C/D family function in directing site-specific 2'-O-methylation of substrate RNAs.
Source: Rfam by way of RNAcentral